This 2094-nucleotide long non-coding RNA is filed under the name Solanum tuberosum (potato). RNAcentral's name for it is "long non-coding RNA (STUB_LNC007997)". Lineage: Eukaryota; Viridiplantae; Streptophyta; Magnoliopsida; Solanales; Solanaceae. The record is from RNAcentral.
CAUUUUGAUUUAUAUACUCUCCCACACUCUCUCUCUUUUCCCUUUUUCCAGGCCUCACAUAAGCACCUCUCCUCUUUCUUCCUCCAAAACGCAAAAGUCAAUACCAAGAACUCUAAUUUCUUCAUCCAACUACACCACCCAUCACCAUUGACAGUCCCUCCUUCCAUAUUCAAAGAUUGCAGACCUCGAGCUUGAUUUGUUGACUUUGGAUUAGAUAAAAAUCUCAACCAAAUCUAAUCCGAAUCGGAGGAUAUCACAUCGAAUCCGAAUUUUCGGAGGUAGGUUCUCAUCUUGCUUGUUUUUUCUUCCAUUCUCUCCAAUCAAUCUCUCAUCUCCCGCUCAAACGACUAUUUGAAUUCAAGCCUUUAUUUUUGCUAUAAAUACAUGGUAUUGGUGUCAUUUAGAGGAGACACACGGAGACAAAAAAAUAGGGGACAAACAGAGGAUUGAAAUUUGAAGGUUGGAGAAUAGUAUUCCCUGAAAUUGAACCCACGAAGGUUUGAGCCUCGAAUUUUCAAUUUUCUUUCAAGUUCUUUGGAUCAUCUGUUGGUGGCGGUCAGUGGUAGUAGGAAGCUCUUCAACUCGUUUGUCUCAGUCGCUGCCCUAAAAAAGGUAAAACCUGUUUCUCUUCUUACUGUUCUGUUAACUUCAGGUGCACCUGGGUUAUUGUGUUUGAAGUUAUGUGUGGUAUUAUAAGUUUUCUCAUCGAGCUCUGUAAUUGUUUCUCUCAUGUUGUGAUUAUAGGAUGAGUGUGUGUUGCCGUUUAUUUCUUGUUUUCACAUAUGAGUUUGCAAUUCUCUUUCCAGAAUGUGUUAUGUUUCUUUCAUAUUGUUAGCUUUCCCUUGCUGUUUAAGAACCGGGAAAGGUUGAUUAUUUCUUUUUAGGAAUUGUUGUUUGAUUGUUGUAUUAGGAUUUGGUAUCAUGGAUUUAUAUAAAUGUUAGCCUAAUCUCGUGUUAUGGAUAGAUUUAGUUGAGUUCUUGUUCCAACUGCUUAGAAUGCAUUCAGUUUCAAUAAUAAAUAAGUUUCGGUUCGGUUUGUGUCGAAGAUGAUUUUCUGACUAGAACUGUUACUAUUCUUAUUUUCUGGCCUGCAUAACGGCAUUUUGUUGAAGUUUGAAACUGCUACACCUGUAUUAGUUAAGUCGUAGUCACUAUGCAUAUGCAUUAAUAACCAGUAUUCGAUGCCAUGUUUUUUCGCUCUUUCACUCUAAAUAUGGGAAUCAUGAUACACAUAGCUAUUUAAACUAAUUUUGUGUCUUUGCUAUUCUUUGUACCAAAACUAUUUCACUUGAAUGCUGCUAAACCCGCUUACUGCUGUUCAUAUGAUAUUAUCACUUAUAAUUUAUCCACUCUUAUUGCUAAUGAAUAAUCUUUGCCAUUGUGCAUACUGUACUCGUCAAAUGUUUGUCAUGUGCAUAUAAAGUUGUCUUGUUUGUUCAUUCCAUAAAGUAGUAUUGCUAAUGAAUAAUUUUUUCCAGUGUGCAUACUUUACUUAUCAAAUGCUUGCCAUGUGCAUAAAGUUGUCUUGUUUGAUAAUUCCAUAAAGUAGGACUUACUUUAGUGGUCCAUGUUUAUUUUCCUUUUACAUUUGUUGAAGUGAUUUUUUUUCCCUUCAAUUAAAAGAUGAAAUAAAAUUGGUGACCUAUUUAAUAUUAAUUACGUGAAUUACUACUUAGUUUCUUUGCUUGUGAUUUGAAUAUUAUGCUAAGUUUUUAUUUUUUUUAUUUUUAUUUUUGUAUCUUGUCCAACUCUAAUUCCUCUUCUUUUACUUUUGUUUGAUUUAUGGUAUGUUGGCGGAGUCCAAGUUGGACCCAAUUCCUAUUUCUUGCAUUCUCCGUCUUAUCAAGUCAACCGCAUAAUCGGAACCACGUGGAGUUCGGGAAGAGAAUGCAUGUCGUAAGGGAAGCUGAAACAGGUGUCGGAUUACAGAAAAAUGGGUUGUAUACAUCCGAUAUACACUGAUAUACAUCAGACGUAUGCGAAAAGGGAAUUGAGCCAAGAGCCCAAAUCAACAACGAGUUUGGCCCAAAAAGGGCCCAAAUUCAUCUUCUCCUUUAUUCUCCUAGAUUAUUUAAUUGUGAUUACUUAUUGUUA